GAUGAAGAACGUAGUGAAAUGCGAUAAGUAAUGUGAAUUGCAGAAUUCAGUGAAUCAUCGAAUCUUUGAACGCACAUUGCGCCCGCCAGUAUUCUGGCGGGCAUGCCUGUUCGAGCGUCAUUUCAACCAUCAAGCCCCGGGCUUGUGUUGGGGACCUGCGGCUGCCGCAGGCCCUGAAAUGCAGUGGCGGGCUCGCUGUCACUCCGAGCGUAGUAGUUACAUCUCGCUCUGGGCGUGCUGCGGGUUCCGGCCGUUAAAAGCCUUAUUUACCCAAGGUUGACCUCGGAUCAGGUAGGAAGACCCGCUGAACUUAAGCAUAUCAAUAAUCGGAGGA
This 334-nucleotide unclassified non-coding RNA is filed under the name soil metagenome. RNAcentral describes it as "partial contains 5.8S ribosomal RNA, internal transcribed spacer 2, and large subunit ribosomal RNA". The stretch from base 1 to 120 matches the Rfam family "5.8S ribosomal RNA", at positions 35 to 154 of the family's 154-position model. The record is from RNAcentral.